RNAcentral lists this small RNA (28 nucleotides) under Bombyx mori (domestic silkworm). RNAcentral describes it as "piRNA piR-bmo-1624532". The record is from RNAcentral. Lineage: Eukaryota; Metazoa; Arthropoda; Insecta; Lepidoptera; Bombycidae.
UAUCUGAGAGUCCAGUCAAAAGUAAUGA